AUAUAUACAAAGGUUCUGUUGGGGUUUCUCCUGUAGCCUAUGACUGUUGACCCUAUACUUCACUACAUCAUCCACCCUAUUUUUCAACAUGGACAAAUCAAUUUCAUACAAGAUAAUUUCAUGUAUGAGACUUUUUAUUAGUCACUAGGUAAACAGCCUGAAAAAUAACAAAAGUGUGGUAAACUGUAAAAAUUACUUGUGCUUUAUGAUUAUUGUGUGUUUAUGAUUAUGAUUACACAAACUGUGUAAUCACUUGCUGCACAGGUUAAAUUAAAAUCUCUGAGAACUGUGGGCAGGAUAAUUAAGUGUAUUAGGGAUGCUUUGCGCCAUGCAUUAAUGUCCUGUAUGAACUCAGCCCUGGUAGAUGGUUUUACACCCCAGAACUUGCCUGAGCUGAAGGUGACCCCUAAAAAUGGAUGAGUUGUAAUAUAAACCAGACUGCAUUGUUGACAGGGAUUUGGUUUUUCAUAAUGUGGCAAAGAAAAACGUUUGUGUGUAAAAUCUGUGCAUGUUGGACAUUUGCAAGGAAAAACAGAUACUAAAUGAAGGGAUAAAAUCUCUAUUUGUGAAGAAGUACAUCCAUCAUGGAGAGUAUUGUGUAAACCUCCUGUGGAGAUCUUCAGUGUAGAGUUGUAUUAUAGCCUCAAAUAGCUCGGUAUCAAAGUUUAAUAAGAUUGUUCUGUCCUGUAAUGCUUAUGAUGUUUUUCAUAUGUUUUUUGAAUGUCCAAGACUUCCUUUAUUUGUAAUACUUGAAAGUUGAUCACAAAAUUGGGGUUUUCAUAUAACAAUACCUUAGUUUAUAUUAGGAUAUAAAUAUAAAAGUUCAUGGCAACAACAAUGAUUCUUGUAAUUUUUUAUUGGCCAAGCUAAGGCCUAGUCCACACAGACAUGGGUAUUUUUAUAACUGGAGUUUUUCCUGCUGCGGUUUAAAGAAAAUCCCCUCCACACAUGCUCGCUUAAAGAAAUCUCUGCCUACAUGAACAUGGAACAACACGAAAUUACACGCUGUCAAGAGCAUGCCACACUGGCAGGCGGUGAUAUUACUCAAAUCAUAAAGCCACCGUGGCCAAUCAGAAGCCUAACACAAGUGACGUUGCAAGGCGGUUUUACUGUCUACACAACAACACUGCACUCGGCGUUUCUUAAAAUACACACCCUGGCAGGGGUUUUCAAAAAUGUUCAGUUUUAGUGACGUGAUACUGCGUGUCUGUGUGGAUGAAAGGUGUAAAAAAGUCACGGUUAUAAAAAUACCCGUGUCCGUGUGAACAAGGCCUAAGUUUGCCAUUUUGAAAUCCCGCCAGUGCAAAAAUGCAGGAAAAUAAGGCCUAGUCCACAUGGACAUGGGUAUUUCUAACCUGAGUUUUUCCUCCAAACAAAUCCUGUUCACACAUGCUCAGUUUAAAAGAAAUCUCUGUCCACAUGAAAAAGCAAAAACACGCUAUCAAGCACUGUCAAGAGCAUGCCACACCAGUAGGCAACAAUAUAACCUCUGAUGUCAAAUACAGCAGAUAACGGUGCACACUCUGACGUCGCAGGGCAAAAACCCUGGUUUUACUGCAUCCAUCGUUUUCUUAAAAUCCUUACCCUGGCAGGGAUUUUCAAAAAUGUUUGGUUUUAGUGCCCUGAUACUGAAUUUUUGCGUGGACAAACGGCCGAACCACGUUUAAAAAUGACACGGCUUUAAAAAUACUCGGGUCCGUGUGGACUAGGUCUAAGUCUUUAAUAGAAUCGUGAGUGUCCAUUGAGUUUACAUAUUACAAAUACACAGAUAAUGUUGCUUUGUUUGAAUGCAAAUGGGGUGUGAGAGAGGCUGACUUUUUAAUAAUGGUUGUUGUGGAUCUUGUAUCAAAUUUGUCUUAAGCCCUGUUUUCUUUCUCUCUCUCUCUCUCUCUCUCUCUCUCUCCUAUAUAAUUUGAAAAUUACAUUGCUGUAGUUUGCAAUGAAUUGUGGGAGCAUGCUAAAUGCAAAUUUUACAGUAUGUCUGCAAUAUUGUAUUUUUAAAAUAGGCUAAUAUGUAAAUGCUACAGGACAACAUGUAAUGACACUUAUUAUUUUAUUUUAUGUAUUUAUUGAAAAUGUCAGCUGUGGUACUAGUUUGGAAAUAAAAGCUUUGGCACUUUACAAUAACUGCAAUAAAUGCAGCCUAUUAAAUGAAUUAUAAACAUGCAUGUAGAUUCUUUUAAUGUACAAAUCUUUGUCAAAAAUAUUUGAUAAGAAACACAUUUAGACAACAUGUGCAUAGCGCAGUACGUGUGAUGUCACGACGUCAUCAGCAAAUUUGCGCGCGGUGCACAUGCGCAUUGCGAGUAUGCGCAGACAGGUGUCUACGGAGUGGAAAGAAGUUGUUGCAUCUGAUAAUUCUUCAAUCGUGUAGCAGCAACUGCAGCUUACAUGGAAUGAGGAUUAUCGGAUUCAUCUACACUCACUGAUCAUCCAAGGUGAAUUGAUGACCUCAAGCAAAUGGAUGUUGUUGUCAUCUGAAGAGAAGGUUGUCCUGGGCCCAUGUUUAGAGGCAUUUGGGGCAUAUCAGACACAUAUCAGAAUCAAGCUGCAUGCACACUUGAGUUUAUUCAGAGAGAAGUUGUGGGCAUCAGUCCGGAAACUGGAUCAAAAAUUUGCUGCUGGAAUGUGAGACAAAUAAAGGCAUGGAAUGAACCCAAAUGUAUGAACACUGCUACGAAAACUAAUGGACUUUAAAUGGCUUGCCAGUUAAUUCCAAUGGAAUUGAAGAAGAGACUCUGACAAGAUUUUCAAGUUUGUGUUUAAUUUAAAAGUUUAUCUUCAUAGAUAAGCAAUUUAAAGGUAGGCACAGUUAAAACUAUUUCUUGUGUGUUUGUUUAAACUGUAAAUUUAUGACUGAAGUUUGGUCACUAUGUAGUAAUGUGUUCCUUUGUGGUUAAUUAAAUGCUGCAGUGCUUAGUGGUAUUCGUUGUUGUAUUUCCAAGGCUAAAGCCUUAUUUUGUGAUCUGCAUUGUAUUGGAGAGUUUUGGAAACUAAUACUUAUUAUCUUAAUGCAUUGGAAAGUUUUGGACUAUUGAACAAUAAAUGCAUUUGGCUACA
Molecule: long non-coding RNA, 3060 nt
Organism: Paramisgurnus dabryanus
Lineage: Eukaryota; Metazoa; Chordata; Actinopteri; Cypriniformes; Cobitidae
Source: RefSeq, a predicted model, not a curated record